This 372-nucleotide ribosomal RNA is filed under the name uncultured bacterium. RNAcentral's name for it is "bacterial SSU rRNA". It matches the Rfam family "Bacterial small subunit ribosomal RNA", at positions 524 to 898 of the family's 1533-position model. The record is from RNAcentral.
UACGUAGGUGGCGAGCGUUGUCCGGAAUUAUUGGGCGUAAAGGAUGCGUAGGUGGUAGUUUAAGUGGGAUGUGAAAUCCCUGGGCUUAACCCAGGAACUGCAUUCCAAACUGGACUACUAGAGUGCAGGAGAGGAAAGUGGAAUUCCUAGUGUAGCGGUGAAAUGCGUAGAGAUUAGGAGGAACACCAGUGGCGAAGGCGACUUUCUGGACUGUAACUGACACUGAGGCAUGAAAGCGUGGGGAGCAAACAGGAUUAGAUACCCUGGUAGUCCACGCCGUAAACGAUGAGUACUAGGUGUAGGGAGUCAAAUCUCUGUGCCGCAGUUAACACAUUAAGUACUCCGCCUGGGAAGUACGAUCGCAAGAUUAAA